Molecule: unclassified non-coding RNA, 196 nt
Filed under: uncultured fungus
Lineage: Eukaryota; Fungi
Description: sequence contains ITS1, 5.8S rRNA gene
Source: RNAcentral
CCGGGAUUUGUCUGUCUAAGACUAUCCAUGACCCUUUGUUUAUACAAAAAUGUUAUUUCUUUGGCAAGACGUUUGAUUUUUUUUGUCAUGAAAAGAAUCAACCACUGAUUUUUUAGGAAAUGAGUGUGUUUUUUGCUUGCCAAAGUUUUUUACUCUUUUAUAUAUUGAAGUCUGAUCAAAACAAACAAAUAAAUUA